Molecule: transfer RNA, 89 nt
Filed under: Acidobacteriota bacterium
Lineage: Bacteria; Pseudomonadati; Acidobacteriota
Also listed under: 1 other name
Description: Acidobacteria bacterium tRNA-Ser
Rfam family: tRNA
About the family: Transfer RNA (tRNA) molecules are approximately 80 nucleotides in length. Their secondary structure includes four short double-helical elements and three loops (D, anti-codon, and T loops).
Source: RNAcentral
GGAGGGCUAGCCUCAAUUGGCAAGGCAGCGGACUUGAAAUCCGCCUGGGCGCAAGCCCUUUGGGGGUUCGAAUCCCCCGCCCUCCGCCA